GAAAGAUUCAUCGGAAGAGGAUGGGCAUGCGGCGCAUUAGCUUGACGGCGGGGUAACGGCCCACCGUGGCGACGAUGCGUAGGGGUUCUGAGAGGAAGGUCCCCCACACUGGUACUGAGACACGGACCAGACUCCUACGGGAGGCAGCAGUGAGGAAUAUUGGUCAAUGGGAGAGAUCCUGAACCAGCCAAGCCGCGUGAGGGAAGACGGCCCUAUGGGUUGUAAACCUCUUUUGUCGGAGAACAAAACCCGGGACGUGUCCCGGACUGCGUGUAUCCGAAGAAAAAGCAUCGGCUAACUCCGUGCCAGCAGCCGCGGUAAUACGGAGGAUGCGAGCGUUAUCCGGAUUUAUUGGGUUUAAAGGGUGCGUAGGCGGUCUGUUAAGUCAGCGGUAAAAUUGCGGGGCUCAACCCCGUCGAGCCGUUGAAACUGGCAGACUUGAGUUGGCGAGAAGUACGCGGAAUGCGCGGUGUAGCGGUGAAAUGCAUAGAUAUCGCGCAGAACUCCGAUUGCGAAGGCAGCGUACCGGCGCCAGACUGACGCUGAGGCACGAAAGCGUGGGGAUCGAACAGGAUUAGAUACCCUGGUAGUCCACGCAGUAAACGAUGAAUGCUGGUUGUCCGGGUCGAAUGAGACCUGGGCGGCGA
RNAcentral lists this ribosomal RNA (647 nucleotides) under uncultured bacterium. RNAcentral's name for it is "bacterial SSU rRNA". It matches the Rfam family "Bacterial small subunit ribosomal RNA", at positions 202 to 849 of the family's 1533-position model. The record is from RNAcentral.